GACGAACGCUGGCGGCGUGCUUAACACAUGCAAGUCGAGCGGUAAGGCCCUUUCGGGGGGUACACGAGCGGCGAACGGGUGAGUAACACGUGGGUGACCUGCCCUCAGCUCUGGGAUAAGCCUGGGAAACCGGGUCUAAUACUGGAUAUGACUCCAUGACGCAUGUUGUGGGGUGGAAAGCCUUGUGCGGCUGAGGAUGGGCCCGCGGCCUAUCAGCUUGUUGGUGGGGUGAUGGCCUACCAAGGCGACGACGGGUAGCCGGCCUGAGAGGGCGACCGGCCACACUGGGACUGAGACACGGCCCAGACUCCUACGGGAGGCAGCAGUGGGGAAUCUUGCGC
RNAcentral lists this ribosomal RNA (341 nucleotides) under uncultured bacterium. RNAcentral describes it as "bacterial SSU rRNA". It matches the Rfam family "Bacterial small subunit ribosomal RNA", at positions 28 to 369 of the family's 1533-position model. The record is from RNAcentral.